GGUUAUGGCUCAGUGAUAGAAUGCUUGCCUAGUAUACAUGAGGCCCUGGGUUCAAAACUCAGUGCCA
RNAcentral lists this transfer RNA (67 nucleotides) under Marmota monax (woodchuck). RNAcentral describes it as "tRNA.Thr". Lineage: Eukaryota; Metazoa; Chordata; Mammalia; Rodentia; Sciuridae. The record is from RNAcentral.